Molecule: ribosomal RNA, 405 nt
Filed under: uncultured bacterium
Lineage: Bacteria
Description: partial 16S ribosomal RNA
Rfam family: Bacterial small subunit ribosomal RNA
Source: RNAcentral
GACGAACGCUGGCGGCGUGCUUAACACAUGCAAGUCGAGCGGAGCGGCGAACGGGUGAGUAACGCGUGAGUAACUGCCCCCCUCUCUGGGAAAACAGUUGGAAACGGCUGCUAAUACCGGAUAGUGGGGGAUGACUCGGGUCCUAUCAGCUUGUUGGUGGGGUAGUGGCCUACCAAGGCGACGAUCCCUAGCUGGUCUGGGAGGAUGACCAGCCACACUGGACUAGGAGACGGUCCAGACGCCUACGGGAGGCAGCAGUGGGGAAUAUGGCACAAUGGGCGCAAGCCUGAGGCAGCCGUGCCGGGUGUAUGAAGAAGGCCUUCGGGUUGUAAACCGCUUUCAGCCAUGACGCGGUAGUGGCAGAAGAAGCACCGGCUAACUACGUGCCAGCAGCCGCGGUAAUUC